UAAGCCAAUCCCACAAAUUUGUUUUCAGUUCGGAUCGCAGUCUGCAACUCGACUGCGUGAAGCUGGAAUCGCUAGUAAUCGCGGAUCAGCAUGCCGCGGUGAAUACGUUCCCGGGCCUUGUACACACCGCCCGUCACACCACGAGAGUUGUAACACCCGAAGUCGGGAGGUAACCUCAGGACCACCGCCGACCGGAAAUACUCACAU
RNAcentral lists this ribosomal RNA (207 nucleotides) under Bacillus velezensis. Its description in RNAcentral is "partial 16S ribosomal RNA". It matches the Rfam family "Bacterial small subunit ribosomal RNA", at positions 1264 to 1474 of the family's 1533-position model. The record is from RNAcentral. Lineage: Bacteria; Bacillati; Bacillota; Bacilli; Caryophanales; Bacillaceae.